GUGCAAGGAAGGCUCGUGCAAGGGAAGUGCUUGUGUAAGGAGCGCUAGUUGAGAUGAUGUGCUCGUGCAAGAAGGGCUCGUGCAAGGAAGAUGCUCGUGUAAGGAGGGCUUGUGGGAAUGAUGUGCUCACGCGAGGAGCGCUUGUGCAAAGGAUGCUCGUGCAAGGAAAGUGCUUGUGUAAGGAGGGCUUGUGGAGAUGAUGCGCUCGUGCGAGGGGCGCUUGUGCAAAGGGGCGCUCGUGCAAAGGGGCACUUGUGCAAGGGCUGCUUGUGCAUUCACACGCUCUUGCCGAGGCCGUGGCAGCGCUCACCCCGCCUCCACCCUCUCAUUAAUCAACCCACUCUCGCUGCCUGCUAAUUAAGCUGGGCCGGCGCUAAUUGGCCACGCUGGGAGGCGGGGGACCCCGGGUUGUGCGCUGGGGCGCUGUGGGGUUGGGGGGAGGAUUCUCUGCUGUCUGCUAUGGGGUUGUGCUUGGUUUUUUUUUGGGGGGGGGUCAGAGGGCACUGAAGCACUGAGGCCCUUUCCUGCAGGAGGAGGGGAUUCUCUGCUGUCUGCUAUGGGAUGUCGCAGCUGUGCUUCCCCCGUGGGGGCCGGACCCUCUUGGGGGCAUGGAGGCUUCGUUUUUUGUUGGCCCCCCCCGGAUCCGUGCGUUCCGCCAGCUGCCAACCCAUCCGCAAAGUGCUGGUGGCCAACCGUGGUGAGUGGUUGGCUUCCGUGUCCCCUUUGUCCCCCCCUCCUCCGUCCCUCCAUUGUCCCCUGGGCUCCCUCAUCUCAGCUGGGUCCAUCAUCCCUUCCAUCCCUGGGUCCCUUUUUGUGCCAUCUCGUCCCCAUCCCAAGCACAGCAUCCCCGCUGCGUGUCCCUGUCCCCCUGUUCCGAUGUCCCCAUGUCUGCACAUCUCCAUCCCACAGACGGGGUGUCCCUCAGGCUUCCCCGUGUCCCCGUCCCCACGUCCAGGUCCCACAUGGGCUUUCUCAUGUCCCCACAUCCCCAUCCCAUGUGGGAUGUCCCAGUUCCGUCCCCAUCUCCCUGUCCCAGGGUGACCCAGAACUGUCCCCAUAUGGGAUGUCCCAGGACCAUCCCCAUAUCUGUCCCACGCAGGACAUCCCAGAGCUGUCCCUAUUUCCACAUCCCCACAUCCCCAUCCCAUGCAGGAUGUCCCACUUUCAUCCCCAUCUCCCUGUCCCAAUCAGGGCGACCCAGAGCUGUCCCCAUAUGGGAUGUCCCAGGACCAUCCCCAUCACCCUGUCCCAAGCAGGACAUCCCAAAGCUGUCCCUAUUUCCAUGUCCCAGUUCCAUCCCCAUCUCCCUGUCCCACGCAGGACAUCCCAGAGCUGUCCCUAUUUCCACAUCCCCACAUCCCCAUCCCAUAUGGGAUGUCCCAGUUCCAUCCCCAUCUCCUGUCCCAAGCAAGGUGACCCAGAACUGUCCCCAUAUGGGAUGUCCCAGGACCAUCCCCAUCUCCCUGUCCCAAGAGGACAUCCCAGAGCUGUCCCUAUUUCCAUGUUCCUACAUCCCCAUCCCAUGCAGGAUGUCCCAGUUCCGUCCCCAUCUCCCUGUCCCAAGAGGACAUCCCAGAGCUGUCCCUAUUUCCAUGUUCCUACAUCCCCAUCCCAUGCAGGAUGUCCCAGUUCCGUCCCCAUCUCCCUGUCCCAAGAGG
Molecule: long non-coding RNA, 1658 nt
Organism: Chrysolophus pictus (golden pheasant)
Lineage: Eukaryota; Metazoa; Chordata; Aves; Galliformes; Phasianidae
Source: Ensembl